Non-coding RNA from Drosophila melanogaster (fruit fly), 1095 nucleotides. NCBI's taxonomy places the organism in Eukaryota, Metazoa, Arthropoda, Insecta, Diptera, Drosophilidae. The record is from Ensembl.
AGCAUAAAUUGUGUUAUUGUAACUAAAAAGGAAAACCGAUGCAAACGGGAAAACUGGUCGAUCUUUGAUGUGAUUAGAGAUGGUUGGGCGGAAAUGGUUAGCUUUGACCAUGUUGGACUUGGCCACGAUUGGCAAUAAAUUCUUCAAUAUUUGAGUAAAUUGACAACGGGAAAUAUGUUCGUAUAAGAUAUCUUAUUAUGGCGAAAAGUAUCCCAUAUACAUACAUAUCCCCUGUCAAAUUAUACUUACAUUAAUCCAGUUUACAUUGCCGCGGUGCAACAUAUGAUCUUUAAAUCAAGUCAAAAAUUAUGAUAUGAUCCCCCUUGAGAUCAUUAUUUAAUCACAGUUUUAUGAACGGCUUUUCCAAAAAUAGCACGGAUCUCCCAUGAAUUCAACUCCCAACAGCAACUCCCCGGCACAUUUGCCAAAUCAAUAUGCAAUAUCCCACAAGUAAAGGAUUUCAAACUCUCACUCGAAUCUACACACACACACGCUCAGUGGGCAAUCAUAUCGAUGGGGGGAAAACUGAACCGCCUGUCAUAAAAGCCGCACACACAAAAAUACGAGUAGUUGGCUGCAUCAAGAGGGAACUGUGGCAUGAAAAGCACAAAAACUAGGUUACCAACAAACCCCCUAGAAAAAUAACAAUUGCACCCCGUAACCCCUGAUCUCUGGCACUGCCACUCGCCGUCCCAAAGCCAUCCGUUCAUGUCUCUGCCAAUGCAUUUCAAAACAGGAGCUGCAGGAGCAGCGAAUCGAGAAAGGCGUUCGGCCAUGCCCCUCCGCCGCCCCCACCAUAUCUGUCAAGUGAACUGGAAGUGAUAAGGAUAUAUAGGGGUCGGUAUGGUGGAGCUAGCUAUGGACGAAGGAAGAACGCUGAGCGUGUUCACGUGCAAAAUUGCAGCGAUUCCCCAGCGAGUUUCGAUUUCUCCUUCAAAAUCGAAUUCACUUUGCUGAGUACACUGAGAGGAAAUCAUGAACGAAACUGGAACAUUAUACCAUUCUAUAGGAGCUCUCCACUUUCUACUAUCUGUAUUUAGUUUUAGUAUUAAAUGUAUUAAGACAUUUCUUGAAAAGAACAUUUUUUGUGGAAUG